CUUGAAACACGGACCAAGGAGAGUAACAUGUACGCGAGUCAUUGCGCCUUACGAAACCCAAAGGCGAAGUGAAAGUAAAGGUUCGGCUUGUCCGGACUGAGGUGAGAUCCUGUCGUUUCUCACGCGUGGCACUACCAAGCAUCGAUCGGCAGGCGCAUCACCGGCCCGUCCCAUGGCGUAGUAGCGGCCUCGUGCUUGCUCAUCGUCGGGGCGGAGCAUGAGCGUACACGUUGAGACCCGAAAGAUGGUGAACUAUGCUUGCGCAGGUUGAAGCCAGAGGAAACUCUGGUGGAGGACCGCAGCAAUUCUGACGUGCAAAUCGAUCGUCAAACGUGAGUAUAGGGGCGAAAGACUAAUCGAACCAUCUAGUAGCUGGUUCCCUCCGAAGUUUCCCUCAGAAUAUAGCCAA
Molecule: ribosomal RNA, 409 nt
Filed under: Echinostoma sp. MK-2019
Lineage: Eukaryota; Metazoa; Platyhelminthes; Trematoda; Plagiorchiida; Echinostomatidae
Description: partial large subunit ribosomal RNA
Rfam family: Eukaryotic large subunit ribosomal RNA
Source: RNAcentral